CUUACAGAGAUGCAGUUUGUCGAAUGUUUACAUAACGUUUGAGCAAAAGACGUUAUAGCUGAGGACAGUAAAGCACAGUACUCGCUUAACCGCAGUGUGUUAGAGUGCAGGUUUAAUGCGAGUGGGGCCGGGCUAACUGAGCUAAGGUCGGCGAGCCACUGUAGCAGAGGACGCCAUUGCUGAUCUUGGACUGUUUGGAGUUUCCGCACGAGGACGUAACGAGGACUUCGCCUCCGCUGCCGUUUGGAUUCAUCUUUUCAUCGCUUCUUGCUCUGUUUCUUCUGGACGGACGCUGAACUAUUAAGAUGCCUGGAAUGAAGUCUGGGGAAUGUGAAAGGUGCUACCCCCAAUCCAACGUCACCUGCACCUGUGCCACAGCUCCAGCCAGGAACAGAAAUGAGAAGCAUGUUACCCAUAUGACAGCAGGCGGGCCCCCAGCGGCUCGGGCUUCAGGUGUGAUUUCAAAAGGUAAAAGUGUUCUGGCACAAGGCUUUGAGAAAGGCACCAGCUCUGCUUUGUCGGCCCAGUGCAGGGAGGCGUGGAGCAACCUGAGGAAGAGUGGCUCGCUCUGACAUGCACCUUCCUCUGGGAGACCCUGACCAGAAUCCCAUCAAACGAGAAGCGUAGAGUUUCCAAACUUUGUUGUGCCUUUCAUGUCUUUGCUCUCUUUUUUGUCUCAGACUUAAGUUGACUGUCCUGUGCAAAACAACAUCACUUUUAGGGAGGAAGGAGAGUUUUCUCUCUUCCCCAGGUUAGAUCAAAACAGCACCUGGUUAUGAAAAGCAUCUCCACUGGUAGACGGGUUGAUGAUCAGUAAAUGCAGACAUAUUAUCCCCA
This is a long non-coding RNA of Micropterus salmoides (largemouth bass), 837 nucleotides long. RefSeq lists it as uncharacterized. The record is from RefSeq and is a predicted model, not a curated record. Lineage: Eukaryota; Metazoa; Chordata; Actinopteri; Centrarchiformes; Centrarchidae. The transcript has 2 exons.